Molecule: ribosomal RNA, 387 nt
Filed under: Nemertea sp. Antarctic ARM-2008
Lineage: Eukaryota; Metazoa; Nemertea
Description: partial 16S ribosomal RNA
Rfam family: Archaeal large subunit ribosomal RNA (bases 1-174)
Source: RNAcentral
UUUUUAUAAUAGGUGUUUUCUGCCCAGUGUUGAAAUAAAUGGCCGCGGUACUCUGACCGUGCAAAGGUAGCAUAAUCACUUGUUCUUUAAUUGGGGACUGGUAUGAAAGAAAGUUUGAGGUCUAAUCUGUCUCUUUUUUGUUUUAAAAUUUGCUGUCUGUGUGAAGAAGCACAGGUUGUUAAAAAAGACAAGAAGACCCUUUUAAGCUUUAUUUAGAAUUCUUUGGCUUUUUCUUUCAAGAAUUUGGCUAAGGUCUAUAAAUUUGGUUGGGGUGACUGAAGAAGAUAAAAUCUUCUUUUGUUUAUUAGUACUUUAGGUUAAAAAAUGACCCAAGAUUUCUUGGUUGUAAGAAUUAGUUAUCUAAAGGGAUAACAGCGUAAUCUUUUC